This 379-nucleotide small RNA is filed under the name Histoplasma ohiense. RNAcentral's name for it is "hypothetical lncRNA". Lineage: Eukaryota; Fungi; Ascomycota; Eurotiomycetes; Onygenales; Ajellomycetaceae. The record is from RNAcentral.
CUAGCUAUUCGUGGAUAUCACGGGCGCCAUCACAAGCUGCUAAAAUUAAUAGCCCAAUCGCCCCCUCCUCGCUUCCCGGGGUUUGUGUGCCCUUACUGAGUUCCUUUCUACCAUUUCCUCCUAUCAUCUUGCGCGGGCGUUGCAGUUCUAGGUUAACCUUCUAUGUAUGGUCCGUCCGCCUGCGCGGGGCUGCACUCCACACUCUGCAUGGGCUUUUACUCUAUCCAUCCCUGGCUCUUUCAAACCUAUUGCGUUGCCGUAUAUGCACAGAGUUGCGGGCAAAAAUAAAAAAAAAAUAAAAAAAAAUACUAGAGCAUGCAACUUGAACCUGCAUAUCUUUGCUCUGGCCACAUACAUUCACAUCCGUCCAAAAAAGCAC